UAGGUGUGUGUGUGUGUACAGUACGUGUGUAGGUGUGUGUGUGUGUAAGCGUUUGUAGGUAUAUCACCGUUUCAUGUGUAUGGAUCAGAAAUAUGAUUAAGUGGAUUUUUUUUAUUUGCCUUUGGAGUUACUUUAUUUCUUUAAAUGCUACAAAUCCAGAUGACAUUUUUCUAUCUAUUUUGAAAAUGAGCUUUUAGGUGUUUUCUGUUAAGGUAAUUCAGUAAAGGUUUCUGAACGCUCUCGUGCAGUUGUGUCAAACUCAUUCCACGGAAGGCCGAGUGUCUGCAGGUUUUUGUUUUUUCCUUUCAAUGGAGUCCUAGACAACCAGGUGAGGAGAGUUCCUUACUAAUUAGAGACCUUAAUUCAUCAAUCAAGUACAAGGGAGGAGGGGAAAUCCCCGCAGACACUCGGCCAGCCGUGGAAUGAGUUUGACACGUGCUCUAGUGCCAAAUUUCUACUUGGUCUCCUGCAACACUUUUUGAACAGGAAAAUGAAUACUGCUGCAACAGCUGGAUCUGGUAAAAAUCACUGAGUUUGAUGGAGGUAUGCUCUCUACAGUUUAUAAUUUAGAUUUAGUCCGAUGAUGUACUACACAUUAAUAUCGGAUCAUUCAAAGCCACUAGAUUGAGAAGAAUAAGAUAUUAAUUUAGAUCCAUUUUUACAGAGAACUAUAUUCUGCCAUUGACAGCAAGCCAAGAUGUUCCAGAGCCAACACUUUAUCACUGACCCCUUAACACAGGGUUUCAGAUAGCUGUUAAUGAUGUCCAACACUUUAUCACUGACCCCUUAACACAGGGUUUCAGAUAGCUGUUAAUGAUGUCCAACACUUUAUCACUGACCCCUUAACACAGGGUUUCAGAUAGCUGUUAAUGAUGUCCAACACUUUAUCACUGACCCCUUAACACGGGGUUUCAGAUAGCUGUUAAUGAUGUCCAACACUUUAUCACUGACCCCUUAACACAGGGUUUCAGAUAGCUGUUAAUGAUGUCCAACACUUUAUCACUGAUCCCUUAACACAGGGUUUCAGAUAGCUGUUAAUGAUGUCCAACACUUUAUCACUGAUCCCUUAACACAGGGUUUCAGAUAGCUGUUAAUGAUGUCCAACACUUUAUCACUGACCCCUUAACACGGGGUUUCAGGUAGCUGUUAAUGAUGUCCAACACUUUAUCACUGAUCCCUUAACACAGGUUUCAGAUAGCUGUUAAUGAUGUCCAACACUUUAUCACUGACCCCUUAACACGGGGUUUCAGGUAGCUGUUAAUGAUGUCCAACACUUUAUCACUGACCCCUUAACACGGGGUUUCAGAUAGCUGUUAAUGAUGUCCAACACUUUAUCACUGACCCCUUAACACAGGGUUUCAGAUAGCUGUUAAUGAUGUCCAACACUUUAUCACUGACCCCUUAACACGGGGUUUCAGGUAGCUGUUAAUGAUGUCCAACACUUUAUCACUGACCCCUUAACACGGGGUUUCCAAAACGCGGUCCUGGAGCCCCCCCCCCCGGGUGUAUAUUUUGGCUUUUGCCCUCGCACUCCAGGAUCGGGUCUGCCUUAACAGACACGUAUCUACUUCAUGGCAGAAAAAAAUAUUUUUGACAUAUUUUAGUCCAUUUAUUUGAUUGUUGUUUUGUUUUACAUUUGGAAAUGUUGACGAAUGGUGUAUUGUUUAGAGUUCUGAUUAUUAUUUCACAUUUUAAAUUCAAGCAGAAAAAUAUAUUGAAGAUUUACAUUUUAAAUUUUUUAUUUAAAUUGCAUGACAAGUAACUAAAACAUAUCUUCAUGGAAAAUUUGAACUGGCUUUACAAAAUGUUACGUCAAGAUUGUUGUGAUGUGGAAUUUUGCUGUACCACAAUUUCUUGCGCUAUAUCCUGAAGUCAAUAUCGCUGUGACCUCUCGAGAUGUCUUAGGGCUAGAAACCAGACAGAACUAUAAUAACGGCUAGUUUUGGUUCAAUGUGUUGUUUGGAGGCUGUCGAUGCUCUGUUUCCAUCUCACCAAUCAGAUUUAGGAUCCAGAGCUACUGAUCUACAGUAUGUAAUGCACCUGCAUCGACAGACUACAGAUGCAUUACAUACUGUAGACUACAGAUGCAUUACAUACUGUAGACUACAGAUGCAUUACAUACUGUAGACUACAGAUGCAUUACAUACUGUAGACUACAGAUGCAUUACAUACUGUAGAUACAGAUGCAUCUGGAAUCCUAUGGAGACUUUCUGGAAUAGAUAGUUCACGAACUAAUGCAUUUUUGAUCAAGUGUGUCAGUAGCUCCUAAAUUCCCAAGUCUUAAGAAGUUACAAGGGAAACCUGGGGAGGAUUGGUUUUAGUAUCACUUCGUUGCCAAGCAAACCGUCACAAGAAAGAGUGAUGAAUUAGUCAUUAUAAAAGACAGAAAAAAAAGAUGAGAAACAAAAAAAAGACCUGUUGUGUGUUCCGAUUUCCAGACAUAUUUGCAUGAAUCUGUAUGUGCUGGAAAACAAUUGUGGAAAACCUAUUUUCUGUUUUGCUGUCACAGCUGUAGUAUUCUGUUCACACUUUGGGGUGUAUGAAUGUUGAAUGACAGUCAGUAAAGUUACUUUCCUCUUUUCAUCUGGCAACUUCCAAUAAUUAAGUGUUUAGUAUGGGUUGUAGCCAGUUAUUGUUGAAAUCAACCAUGCUCCAGGCAGAAGUUACCAUUUAAAUCCUCACCUUAUCCAUCCAAGGGUGAAACCCCUCCAACUAACCUUAUAUCAGUGUCUGGGGGGGGGGGGGGAUUACAUCUUGUGACAACCUAUGACCCUUGUGUUCACCAACCCUGGUCCUGAGGACCCACUGGGUGUGCAGGCUUUUGUUCUAGCCCAGCACUAACCACACUUGAUUAAAGUAAUCAUCAAGACCGAAGGCUGGACCCACUGCUGUAGGGAAUAUACGAGUUGGACACGGAGGUUUGAGCAAAACUAUCAUGAGGUGAUGUGAUGGAAGUUGUUUAUUGGAGGUCUUUUUGUUUUUCUGUCCCGUGACAUAUUUUACCACGGCAUCAUGAUUUUUGUGGCGUUUUAGUGAGUAGCAGAACACAGCUCUAGAACUUGUGUCCGAUUCUGUGUUUGCAAUACAACGGUCUUCCCUGUAAGCCCCGAUUAGUCGACAAUAAAAUUACAAAUCUUGUUGGAA
This is a long non-coding RNA of Oncorhynchus masou masou (cherry salmon), 3144 nucleotides long. RefSeq lists it as uncharacterized. The record is from RefSeq and is a predicted model, not a curated record. Lineage: Eukaryota; Metazoa; Chordata; Actinopteri; Salmoniformes; Salmonidae. The transcript is spliced from 3 exons.